CCUACGGGUGGCAGCAGUCGAGAAUCAUUCACAAUGGGGGAAACCCUGAUGGUGCGACGCCGCGUGGGGGAAUGAAGGUCUUCGGAUUGUAAACCCCUGUCAUGUGGGAGCAAAUUAAAAAGAUAGUACCACAAGAGGAAGAGACGGCUAACUCUGUGCCAGCAGCGGCGGUAAUACAGAGGUCUCAAGCGUUGUUCGGAAUCACUGGGCGUAAAGCGUGCGUAGGCUGUUUCGUAAGUCGUGUGUGAAAGGCGCGGGCUCAACCCGCGGACGGCACAUGAUACUGCGAGACUAGAGUGAUGGAGGGGGAACCGGAAUUCUCGGUGUAGCAGUGAAAUGCGUAGAUAUCGAGAGGAACACUCGUGGCGAAGGCGGGUUCCUGGACAUUAACUGACGCUGAGGCACGAAGGCCAGGGGAGCGAAAGGGAUUAGAUACCCCUGUAGUC
This 446-nucleotide ribosomal RNA is filed under the name uncultured bacterium. Its description in RNAcentral is "partial 16S ribosomal RNA". It matches the Rfam family "Bacterial small subunit ribosomal RNA", at positions 338 to 795 of the family's 1533-position model. The record is from RNAcentral.